UGCGGCGGCCAUGGCCCAGGUGAGACGCCCGGUCCCAUUCCGAACCCGGAAGCUAAGGCCUGGCACGGCGAUGGUACUGCACCCGACAGGGUGUGGGAGAGUAGCACGCCGCC
This 113-nucleotide ribosomal RNA is filed under the name Bifidobacterium breve. Lineage: Bacteria; Bacillati; Actinomycetota; Actinomycetes; Bifidobacteriales; Bifidobacteriaceae. The record is from RNAcentral.